AUUAAAUGUUAUAAAAAGUAGAAAAUGUUGUAGUGUGAGUGAAAAAUUUCAAAAUAAUUAUACUUGCUCAUUUACACUUUUUUUUAAUCGAAAAUUGGAGUUUGCAUUAGUUAUCAGUUCACAAUAUAUAUAAUGGACAAAGACAGACUUUUCUCUUAGGUUCCUUUUAGUAUGUCCAAUUUGAUGCAAGUCACCGCUAGUUUAUAAUGAAGGAAAGUCACUACCCGGCAAAGAGUAACUUCAUGUGAACAGCUAGUUGAAAAGCAGUAUAUUUUAAUCUCUACCCACUAUAUGGCACAUGAUUUCAAUAACUGUCACAAUCCUAGUUACUGAGAAGUAUUGAAAGGAUGUCCACUUGUGAGAAUGCUAGAGUGGAAUGCAGUUGUUACUCAAUAGUGAUAAAGGUGAAUAAAAGCAGUACAAAUUAUCAGCACAUUGUAUAUAAAAUAAUUUAUUCACUAGUGUGAUUAGGUAUCACGGUUAUUUUAAGAACAGAUAGUUUGAGGACCCAAUUAAGACAAAUUAGGUAUCAUGAAAUUUUCAACAUUUUCCACGAAUCAGGUAUCAUGAUGAUAUAAAAUCGACCAUUGACAGGACAGGCAAAGAAAUCUCAGCAUUGGCAUGUUUCGACAAAUGAAGAGUAGCAUAAUAUGCAAUGAACAAAAUGCUUUGCCUUUUUCUAGGACAAUCUACUAAUGCUAUAUUAAUUUAAAUUAAAUACACAUAGAACUUACCACUCCUGUAGUCGCAACCCUUGUCGCAAUUCCUUCAAAAUUCCUCUAAACUGCAAAAAAUAAUGGAAAGGAGAAAAAGACAAUAAAGUAGAUUAAAUUUAAGUAGUAUACAUCUUUUACACAUCAUUUCACAUGCACGCCGAAUUCAUUUUUCCAUCAUGUGCUUGACAAAAUAGCAGGACAAUGUCAAGUACGUGUUGUGCAUGCUAAUCAAAUUAUCCAAAAGUAAAANAAAAAAAAC
Molecule: long non-coding RNA, 975 nt
Filed under: Olea europaea subsp. europaea
Lineage: Eukaryota; Viridiplantae; Streptophyta; Magnoliopsida; Lamiales; Oleaceae
Source: RNAcentral